Molecule: ribosomal RNA, 265 nt
Filed under: uncultured bacterium
Lineage: Bacteria
Description: partial 16S ribosomal RNA
Source: RNAcentral
CUGCUGCCUCCCGUAGGAGUCUGGGCCGUGUCUCAGUCCCAGUGUGGGGGGCCUUCCUCUCAGAACCCCUACGCAUCGUCGCCACGGUGGGCCGUCACCCCGCCGUCUAGCUAAUGCGCCGCAUGCCCAUCCGCCACCGGAUCGCUCCUUUGGCCACCGGAGGAUGCCCUCCGGUGGCGUCACGGGGUAUUAGGCCGCGUUUCCGCGGGUUAUCCCCCUGUGGCGGCCAGGUUGCAUACGUGUUGCUCACCCGUGCGCCGGUCGG